This 446-nucleotide ribosomal RNA is filed under the name uncultured bacterium. RNAcentral's name for it is "bacterial SSU rRNA". It matches the Rfam family "Bacterial small subunit ribosomal RNA", at positions 15 to 507 of the family's 1533-position model. The record is from RNAcentral.
GAUCAUGGCUCAGAACGAACGCUGGCGGCAUGCCUAACACAUGCAAGUCGAACGAAGCCUUCGGGCUUAGUGGCGCACGGGUGCGUAACGCGUGGGAAUCUGCCCUUGGGUUCGGAAUAACAGUUAGAAAUGACUGCUAAUACCGAAUGAUGUCUUCGGACCAAAGAUUUAUCGCCCAAGGAUGAGCCCGCGUCGGAUUAGCUAGUUGGUGAGGUAAAGGCUCACCAAGGCGACGAUCCGUAGCUGGUCUGAGAGGAUGAUCAGCCACACUGGGACUGAGACACGGCCCAGACUCCUACGGGAGGCAGCAGUGGGGAAUAUUGGACAAUGGGGGCAACCCUGAUCCAGCCAUGCCGCGUGAGUGAAGAAGGCCUUCGGGUUGUAAAGCUCUUUCGACGGGGACGAUGAUGACGGUACCCGUAUAAGAAGCCCCGGCAAACUUCGUG